RNAcentral lists this ribosomal RNA (253 nucleotides) under uncultured bacterium. RNAcentral describes it as "partial 16S ribosomal RNA". It matches the Rfam family "Bacterial small subunit ribosomal RNA", at positions 524 to 776 of the family's 1533-position model. The record is from RNAcentral.
UACGUAGGUGGCAAGCGUUGUCCGGAUUUACUGGGUGUAAAGGGCGUGUAGCCGGGCUGACAAGUCAGAUGUGAAAUCCGGGGGCCCAACCCCCGAACUGCAUUUGAAACUGUUGGUCUUGAGUAUCGGAGAGGCAGGCGGAAUUCCUAGUGUAGCGGUGAAAUGCGUAGAUAUUAGGAGGAACACCAGUGGCGAAGGCGGCCUGCUGGACGACAACUGACGGUGAGGCGCGAAAGCGUGGGGAGCAAACAGG